Cricetulus griseus (Chinese hamster) is the source of this 3852-nucleotide non-coding RNA. The record is from RefSeq and is a predicted model, not a curated record. NCBI's taxonomy places the organism in Eukaryota, Metazoa, Chordata, Mammalia, Rodentia, Cricetidae.
GUGCCAGAGAACAAGGAAGUACACAGCCUCAUUAUCAUUCUAAUGGGGGAGGGGCAAGUACAGGUCUUCACUCAGCUUCCAUGGAAACUGGAUAGUAGUAGAAGGUCUUGUUAUUACUGCCUGUGCUUUGGAAUUCAGACUUCCAAUUAUCCUGCUUGACACCACUCAGGUUGGGGUGGGGGAUGCUUUCUGUUUCUAUGUAUGCUCCUCUGACACCACUAUAGAUGGUGGUUAUUGUCAAAUAUGGAUGGGAACCCUCCCUUCCUGCACUGUGUUCUCUAAUACUCCCGCAUAAGGCAGACCUGUGACAACCAGGAGAAAGCACGUUCUAUUUGCCUCUUCACCUUUGCUGGGAGGUUUGGGGCAUGGUCAUAGUUUUCUCUGUUAUAUAUGGUUGGAGGCAGUUAUCCUGUUUUGUUAGGCUACCACUCUGGGGAGACUUCAGUUAGAGAUCUGACUUCCUUGUUGCCUACACCACUCAAUUAUUUCAAGUUAUUGGCUUCUUUGGUACUUUAAAUGUCAGAUUCUACACAUAUUUUUACCUUUCACGAAAAGGUUACCUAGAAAGCCAACAAGUAGGAAAUGCAGUUUUUAAUUUUGAAAUUUGAGAAAAAAAUACCAAAAGUAAGUACAGUUCACAGAUUUGUUCUUGGUAGUGGGGUUGUCCUGUCCACUGGCUGCUGCGGACAAAAUUCAAGACGCAUGAAAGGGUUAGGAUCAACAUUCAAAGCCUCCUUCGUCCUUGAAGGUUUGAGGCAAGCAUCACAUUAUGCUCUGUGAAUUUGCCUCUAACUUACAGUUUCCCCACUGAGUCCUGGGAUUACAGACCCACAUCGCUAUGCAUCAUCAGAACUGGAGUUCUUACAUUCUGAAAGCCGCAGUUUCAGGAUGCCUUCUCCAGUGAAGAGCACUUUGGAUGUGAAACACAGCAAGCUCCAGCAUGGUCUCAGAAUUCUUCCACACAUAGUGUCUUCACGUCUGCUAGUCCCCUUAAGAAAAGAUGUGAGUGUGUGUGCAGGAAGGAGAGGACCCGAGGAGGUCAUUUACUGUACACAUAGAAUGCAUAUAUUGAAGUAGCUUAGGUAUCAGCUCAGAAUUCUAUCAUCAGCUAUAGAUAAAAAUGCUUGAAUAUUUAGCCCAAACAAUUUUUGUAUAUUUUGGAAAGUUCUUAGGAAAAAGAAAGCAUUGGCCAUUAUUCAGGCAAGAUUUGUGGACCUGCUAAUUUAUAACAUAAGGCAAUUAAAAUAGAAAUUUUAAAUUAAAAUUUCAGGAUAGCAUACAAAGCAGUGGUUUUCAUUUCAUUUUGAUAUGCAUCAUAAUCUGCUGUUUUACUGUUGCUUUUUCCUCACUGUCCUCCCCAUGCUCCUCCAGCUACUCCCUUUGGUCUGGCUACUCCCUUUGGUCUGGCUACUCCCUUUUCUCUGGCUUACUUCCUUUCUUCCCCCACAUACUUUCAUGAUAUACAAAUUACAUUUUUCUUAUUUUAGAGUUUUAAGAACAAUUUGAAACUCAAGUAAUGCAAUACAAAAUUUGCCCACAUGUAUUUUAAUCUAAUUCCACUAUGCACUUGUCUAUAUAAAAGGAGUCAUAAUUAUUCCUUGAGAAAAAAACAUUCAUUUUAGAAACAUGUUGGUGCUGGGGAGAGCCUUAAUAAGCAGGAGCAGCUCUGAAAUGAAUCCUGGAAAUUGCAAAAUGUAUAAUUCUACAUGGUUUUAUUAUAGAGAUAGGUCAAUUGCAUGUGACUCAAAAGCAAAUAUAUUUUAGGAGGGGCCUCUCAAUAAAGUUUUAUAUGGAAAAAUGAUACCAAAAUACACAGUCUGAAAGGUUAACUAGUUCAUCACUUGUCCCCAUGUGAAGGUGAAAGGAAACAGGUAUAUAUUGCUAUAGGGAGGGAGUGAUGAGGGAACUAAGCAGCGUAACUGGAAGUUUCUGGUACAAACUUGUUACUUAGCAGGGAAUCACACAGAUGAAAUUUAUUCAUUAUGUCUUCAUCUACUCAUGCUCUUGGCUAGUUUCACUGGGGGCUUCAGUAACAACAAAGACCAAUGUAAUGUUUGUUCCCAAGUACUGCUUUCAUUAACGUUGCUGGGUGUGAACAGUAAAUAGUGAAGGGGAAAUCAUUUUUCUUUGUAGCUUCCAGAAAGUGCAAACUGAGGGAAUUAUGAAAUAGAAAUUAUUUUCUUUUAAAGACAUGUUGCAUAUUAUUCCUGGGGAGAUUUUCAUUUGUGGGUUAAUGGCUAAGGAUUCAAUUUUUUAAAUAUUUAUUUACAUUCAAACUGAGUCACAUACUUUUUGCAACAGUUCAUGCAGAUGAAAGUGAAAUGACCAGAGCCAUACUGUUGACUAAUAAGAAAGACAAGAUUAAAAAUACAAGAGACAAUUUAUACUUGGUGAGGGCUAGAAUGAACAUCUACCCACAUGUUUAAUGUAUAUAAAAUCUGAGUCAAAAUUAAUUCCUUUGGCUUAAACUUGAUGUGCAAAUUUGAUACUUGUGUUUCUUUAAACCUUGAGCUUAAGUUCCUUCUUUGUAUCAGAUCCCAGAUCUUUGUAAGAGCUACUGUUAGCUAGUCAGAAUUCAGCACACGGAGAGGAGAAGUAAGAGAUGGCUUUUGCAGCACCAAAAGAGUGAUAUUCGACAUGUGUGAACGUAGAUUCAUAGGGUGAAAGCAGGUGAAUGUAGGUUCAUAGUACGACAUAGACAUGCAACAAUGAUGCUUUCUACAUUUGCACAACAUUAAGACGCAUCAGCUCUCCUGUGCCACUCAGCUGCCUUAAACUAAAAGCACCAUGUUGUUUUCUUUGUUCACUCAUUUUUGUUUUUUUGUGUCUUGUAAACCAUUUUAGUGAAAGCUGUGUUUCUAAGGUGGAGAAAUGUAGACCUGAUGCCCGGAUUUUUAUUUCCAUGACACCCAAAUUCAUGAGAGAAGAAACACACAGAUGUGAUUUUCUACUGCAAAACUGGAGUCUUACCCCACUGCUCAGCAAAGAACAGAUUUCUCCAACUUUUACAAUACUUGGUGUUAUUUCACUGUUGUAAUACAAUGUAGGGCAAAGGGUGUUUGGAAAAAAAAUUCAAACUUCACAACUGUUGAGAAAAAAAUCAUUUGGUAGACUACCAUCUUUGAAUUUUUAAUCAUUUUGUUUAAGCUCCAUGCAAGCUAAAAACUGGUAAUUUUCAGUGACCCUUCUCAACAGCAAUGCAAGUUAGCAGGUAAAAACAUUAACCUGAGAUUUCAUAGAUAUGGGGAAAUUAAAAUUUCUUUCAUUGUUGAACACCAGGGAGAAUACUGGAGACAAUAGGAAGCUGGGAUAUUAUGGAAUACUAUUCUUUCUUUCAAAUUCAAAACCAACAAAUAUGCUCAUUGCACCGAGUGGAGGUUCAGAAAUGCUUAUGCUUCCAGUGCACUGAUGGCCUGGGUAGAUGGAAGUGAUUGGAAUCCAGAAGAUAACCAUGCUGUUAAACCAUUCAUUCAAACUCCCCUCUUUUCCUGUUAAAUGGUUGUGACUUUUGAGCAACAAUUAUUAUAAAAACAAAACAAAACAAAAAGUACAAGUAAAAACAACUAAAUAUGGAGAAGUUUUAUUUAGAUUUUAUUUGAUCUUUGGAUGUUCCCAAAGGUCAAAAUUAGUUCAAUCUUCCUUUUAGUUCCUUAGCAAAGAUGAAGAUGGGAGAUAAGUGUUCAUUCCACAACACUGUUUCCUGCCGAGGAACUGAGUCGGCUAUAGCCAGGCAGUCCUGUCCAGCUCACCAUGACUAUUCUGAAUUUGAAACAACUACCUGACAUCAAAAUGGGGUUUCAUUCUUACAUUUCUUUUGUCACCAUAGAGAAUUAAAAAGAUAAUUUGUAUUCA